AGCGUAGGUGGCCGUAACAGUGUACGAACUGUGAAAACCCGGAGCUCAACUCCGGACUUGCAGUUGAAACUGGUAGGCUUGAGGACGGUAGAGGAAGACGGAACUGCCAGUGUAGGGGUAAAAUCCUUAGAUAUUGGCAGGAACGCCGGUGACGAAGGUGGUUUUCUGGGCCGGUUCUGACACUGAUGCUCGAAAGCCAGGGGAGCGAACG
This 211-nucleotide ribosomal RNA is filed under the name uncultured Mesotoga sp. RNAcentral's name for it is "partial 16S ribosomal RNA". It matches the Rfam family "Bacterial small subunit ribosomal RNA", at positions 568 to 774 of the family's 1533-position model. The record is from RNAcentral. Lineage: Bacteria; Thermotogati; Thermotogota; Thermotogae; Kosmotogales; Kosmotogaceae.